GACGGGAUCGAUUUAGCCAUGCUAGUUGCACGAGUUUAGACUCGUAGCAUAUAGCUCAGUAACACGUGGCCAAACUACCCUACAGACCGCAAUAACCUCGGGAAACUGAGGCCAAUAGCGGAUAUAACUCUCAUGCUGGAGUGCCGAGAGUUAGAAACGUUCCGGCGCUGUAGGAUGUGGCUGCGGCCGAUUAGGUAGAUGGUGGGGUAACGGCCCACCAUGCCGAUAAUCGGUACAGGUUGUGAGAGCAAGAGCCUGGAGACGGUAUCUGAGACAAGAUACCGGGCCC
RNAcentral lists this ribosomal RNA (289 nucleotides) under Haloarcula sp. enrichment culture clone TTGE_FP_245. RNAcentral describes it as "partial 16S ribosomal RNA". It matches the Rfam family "Archaeal small subunit ribosomal RNA", at positions 36 to 323 of the family's 1478-position model. The record is from RNAcentral. Lineage: Archaea; Methanobacteriati; Methanobacteriota; Halobacteria; Halobacteriales; Haloarculaceae.